RNAcentral lists this unclassified non-coding RNA (248 nucleotides) under Hevea brasiliensis (rubber tree). The record is from RNAcentral. Lineage: Eukaryota; Viridiplantae; Streptophyta; Magnoliopsida; Malpighiales; Euphorbiaceae.
GUUGUGCAACUUUAAUCUCCAAUGUUACUAUCUGAUCCAGCAUUUCUUUGGGCUGUACAGCUUGAAUAUCUAAUAUUGCAAUUAUCUGGUCCACAAUUCUUCCAUAACCGAUGCAAAAUCAUCCUGUGUCAUUGAACAAAGGACUUCCAUUUCACAUUCGAAUCUUGUUUUCCCCAUCGCAUAAUCCGGUUGCCCCUGAUCACCGUCUUCAAUAUUUCUGUCCUUGGAAUCCUCACUCACUAAAUGUG